Molecule: non-coding RNA, 127 nt
Organism: Brassica napus (rape)
Lineage: Eukaryota; Viridiplantae; Streptophyta; Magnoliopsida; Brassicales; Brassicaceae
Source: Rfam
CGUAAUAUAAGAACCGUCUCUUAACUUUUAACUAAGAAAAACUAAGAGCCGAUUUUUAAAUAAGAUAUUUAAGAGUCUGUUCUUAGCUUUUCUUAGUUAAAAGUUAAGAGACGGUUCUUAUAUUAGG